RNAcentral lists this ribosomal RNA (440 nucleotides) under uncultured bacterium. RNAcentral's name for it is "partial 16S ribosomal RNA". It matches the Rfam family "Bacterial small subunit ribosomal RNA", at positions 355 to 812 of the family's 1533-position model. The record is from RNAcentral.
UGGGGAAUAUUGCACAAUGGGCGAAAGCCUGAUGCAGCAACGCCGCGUGAGUGAUGAAGGCCUUCGGGUUGUAAAGCUCUGUCUUUUGGGACGAUAAUGACGGUACCAAAGGAGGAAGCCACGGCUAACUACGUGCCAGCAGCCGCGGUAAUACGUAGGCGGCAAGCGUUGUCCGGAUUUACUGGGCGUAAAGGAUGCGUAGGCGGAUUUUUAAGUGAGAUGUGAAAUACCCGGGCUUAACUUGGGUGCUGCAUUUCAAACUGGGAAUCUAGAGUGCGGGAGAGGAGAAUGGAAUUCCUAGUGUAGCGGUGAAAUGCGUAGGAUUAGGAAGAACACCAGUGGCGAAAGGCGAUUCUCUGGACCGUAACUGACGCUGAGGCAUGAAAGCGUGGGUAGCAAACAGGAUUAGAUACCCUGGUAGUCCACGCCGUAAACGAUGA